UACGGAGGGAGCUAGCGUUGUUCGGAAUUACUGGGCGUAAAGCGCACGUAGGCGGCUUUGUAAGUUAGAGGUGAAAGCCCGGAGCUCAACUCCGGAAUUGCCUUUAAGACUGCAUCGCUUGAAUCCGGGAGAGGUGAGUGGAAUUCCGAGUGUAGAGGUGAAAUUCGUAGAUAUUCGGAAGAACACCAGUGGCGAAGGCGACUUACUGGACACAUAUUGACGCUGAGGUGCGAAAGCGUGGGGAGCAAACAGG
RNAcentral lists this ribosomal RNA (253 nucleotides) under uncultured bacterium. Its description in RNAcentral is "partial 16S ribosomal RNA". It matches the Rfam family "Bacterial small subunit ribosomal RNA", at positions 524 to 776 of the family's 1533-position model. The record is from RNAcentral.